GCCAUUUUGACAGAAGACUCUCAUUUUCAUUUCGUGGCUGGACUGGAAUUCGCUUAUGAUGCAUAUUCAUUCCUGGAAUGAUCACAGACAUUUUUCUGGGACCUUUGAAUCCUAACACAUUGGUUUCAUAAUAAACAGCUGCAAGUUCUUGUCGAGUAUGAGCCUUUUCUACUUCACCUUGUGCCUUGAUUGGGCUAACUCCAUGGUCAUAGACUGUAAAUUUAGUUCCCAUGAGGUUUGACCUGAGUUUUCCAAUGAAACUCUCCCCUUCCCGGGAUAAAUCAGUUGGGUCAACAGAUAUGAUAUAAUUGGAUGUUUUGCUCUUUUUUCGUUUUCUACCUGCAAGAAGAAACAUCUUUCUGUUGUUAUCCUUUUCCAGAUGCAUGUAAUAGGUAGGGAAGAGGCCCCGG
This 410-nucleotide long non-coding RNA is filed under the name Gallus gallus (chicken). The record is from RNAcentral. Lineage: Eukaryota; Metazoa; Chordata; Aves; Galliformes; Phasianidae.